RNAcentral lists this long non-coding RNA (5390 nucleotides) under Canis lupus familiaris (dog). RNAcentral describes it as "lncRNA (ENSCAFG00000052414.1, ENSCAFG00845011587.1)". The record is from RNAcentral. Lineage: Eukaryota; Metazoa; Chordata; Mammalia; Carnivora; Canidae.
UUUUUUUAUUUAUUCAUGAGAGACACAGAGAAAGGCAGAGACAAAGGCAGAGGGGGAAGCAGGCUCCAUGCAGGGAGCCCCACGUGGGACUCGAUCCUGGGACUCCAAGAUCACGCCCCCCAGGCUGAAGGCAGAUGCUCAACCUCUGAGCCACCCAGGAGUCCCCAUGAGAGACUCUUAAUGAUCGAAAACUAAUUGAGGGUUGAUGUAGGGAGGUGGGUGGGGGGUGGGCUAGAUGAGUGAUGGGCAUGAAAGAGGGCACUUGUGAUGAUGAGCACUAGGUGUUAUAUCUAAGUGAUAAAUCACUGAAUUCCACUCCAGAAACCAAUAUCGUGCUCUAUGUUCACUCACUAAAAUUUAAAUUAAAAAAACAAUGAACAACAAAAUGGAACAACCUGAAAGUUAGAUCACAGAGGACAGAGCAGAAGUAAACUGUGUGGCAGCCAUAUGGUAGGCUACGAUUUAAUCUUUACAGGGAAGAAGUAGGGAAAUGUUUUAAUGCCAUGAAAAAAAAAUGUUGCAGGAAAACAGGGUACAAAAGAUUCCUAUUUUAUUCCCGUGUGUGUCCUUAAAGCAAGAGCUAGAAAGCCUGGAGAUGCACCCAACUGUUAUCUUGGGACCGUUGCCUGUGAGGUUCCUUUCCUUUAGUGCUUUCUGUUCAGUCUACAUUACAUUUUCUGUUGUGAGCACAUAUUACUUUUAUAAUUAGGGUAAGAAAAAAAUCCAUGGGUUUGGCUUCUUUUGAAUGAAGGAUAUCAGCAGGGGUCAAGUUGCGUGAAGCAGGGUUCCCUGUGGGUGCCUCUUUGGGCCCUUCCCUGCCCCCACGUGCUUCCACCCUCACCCCUGCUGUGGCCUGGGGAGUGUGGGCCCUGAGCUCUGCCAGGGGCGGGGGGCAGCCUGCUGCCUAUCCCCUUGUGUGUCCCCCACCCCGAGUGGGCCUGGCAGGACCCCAAGUGCUCUGUUUGGUUCCCACCCCACCCGUGUGUCUCUGGAGCUCUAUUUUCCAGAGGGAGAAAUGUAGCCAUUUGGUGCUCCAGGACCCCAGCGGUGGGGUGACGAUAAUAGGGUCGCAGUACUCAGGGACUGGCCUUGCCCUCUGCCCUGCGGCCAUAUUGCAGUUUUGCCGGGGCCGCAAUGUCUCGAGGACAGGGUGCACGCCAAGAACCUCUGUCCCACUGGGUCCUGUCUCCUAGAGUGCAAGCCAGUGCCCUUGCCCUUGCCCUUGCCCUUGCCCUUGCCCUUGCUCCUGCCCCUGCCAGAGGUGGCCAAGGCCGGGCUUUCUGAGGAGGAUAACAGGAGCAAGAGCAGAAGGCAGGGAGAGGGAGAUGAUCUCCAUGGCCAGUGGGUCCUUGGCGGGUUCUGGGACUCAGCCAGCAGGGAGUGGCCUGGAGAAGGGGACAGAGAGAGCCAGAGAGCUGUAAGGUGGACAUGCCUUCCCCCAAGACUUCCCAGAGUUGAGAUACGCUUUCAGGGCACGAGACCAGCAGAUUUAGUAUCCCCGCUACACCUCCAAGUGUCUGUGAAGGAUACGAGUCACCUAGAAGAAGGGUCCCUGGUUUUGCCUCUUCUCAGGGGAGCACAGAGAAGGGGGUGGAGACACCCCCUUAGGCACUUAGGCAAGAGCGAGCACAGAGGGCUUUUCCCCACCGGGCCUGCCUGUCCUGGCAGGUGGUCCCCCAAAGCAUAGGGGCCACCCAGCCUGGCCCCAGGAGACUAGAGCCCUCAGCACCCAUAAGACUCUGUUGAUCCUGUCCCCCUCACCACCAGCCCCCUCCGUCCUGUAUUCUAGGGCUUAGUCACAGAAGUCAGGUACAAGAGGGGCUAGAGAACUGUUAGGUCAACCUUGUUAUAUUUGAGAGGAGAAACUUGUCCAAGGGCACUCAAGUGGCCAGCAAAUUUUUAGGGAUGAGCACUCUGAUUAGAGGACACAAUUUCUGCAAUCUGUAUCUUAGAUUUCUUUGUGCAUCCACAACGUCACACUGGAAAGUUCUUGCAGACAAUGGCAAGCAUGAAGUGAUGGAACCGUUGGCUUUUCUCCCUUCCGUUGCUGAUAACAACCUGCAAGAGACAUCCAAAUUUCCUUGGGGAACUUGGUGAGGACUAAAGGAGGGGUGGACUUGCGUCUGGGUAUACAUUUGGGCCAGGAGACCUCAGGGCUGGUCCUGGCACCACCUACCAGCCCAGGACGCGUGACAUUAGAAGCACUCUGGGGGCCUCGCUAAACCUGUCUCUUCUUUUGGGUGUUCCUUAGCAGCACCUGGCUGCUGUUUCAGAACUGCCCAUGGAAUGAAACAGCUACAACGGAGGCCAACAGGAGCAGCCUUCAGAGCGCCAAGAAGCAAUUCAACCUCUUACCUCCCAAGACUGACUUGCAACCGUCUCGUUACGGUGAUCUGCAAUAUCAGAUACCUAGAGAAUGUGUUGGUUCACUACAAGUUGCAAACUGUCACAGGAGGUUGAAUUUUUCCUUCAACCUUUUUAUAAUUAGCCUAAUUUUUAACCUUUACUGGAAUGUUGUAAAUAACCAGCAAGAACAUAAGAGCUAAAACAAACAAACAAAAAAGAACAUACGAGCUGACCAUUUUCUUAUGCAAACUCUUGCUCCCCAGUGUCCAGGAAGGCAGCCACCAGUGCUGUGGAGUUAUUGCACCCUGGAGAUGUGGCCGCUCCAAGUGGAGACUGUGCUAGUGAGCAUAAAAUUCAUACUGGAUUUUGAUGACAGUGUGAAAAAACAGAGUGUUAGUAUUUAAGCAUUCCUAUCGUUACAUGUUGAAAUGAUGAAAAUAAAUUUCAAUUUUUUAAUGAGAAUUUACUGAAAUUUUAAUAUGACAUACUUGGCUCACGGUAUGUUUCUGAUGGAUGGCCCUGGUCUAGAAUAUCUAUCUAAGAGCAUUUCUUCUUACAAACUUUAAAGCAAAAUGCGAAUUCCUCUCUUCCAUAAAACGUGAGGAAUUGUGUGUAAAGGCUGGUGUCCAGGCACUUCUCAAAGGUAUGCUUGAUGUCCAUCUCCUGUUCUUGUGCAGCGAGGACCAGGUCCGUGGCAAGUGGUUUCAGGACCUCAGGACUGUCUGUGAUUUCCAGAGUCCAGAGAGAAAGACAGAAGCAGCUCUCUCCAGCAUUCCUGUUACUGCUGACAGGAGAGCAACGCUCCUCCUCCCUCAUCACACUCUUGGGACCUGCACGAGAACUCCCUCCCGUCACCUCUCCAUGGGUGAUGGCAAGGAGGGAGGUGGGUUGAUAAUCAUCCCUGCCCCCACCACACCAUUUUUAAGAGGACUUCGUGCCCAGGAACGGAGCAGGAUCCUUCUUGGAUAGUGCAGGCAGCCAAGCCAAAACAGGAACGUGAUGAUAAAAAGCUGUAUUGGGGGAUGGGAGACAGCAAAAGAAAUUCCCAAGUAUGAACAUACAAAAUAUUGCUUAGACUCAUGGCUCAUCCUGGGCUGCUCAUCAACCUCAAAUACAUGGCGAGGAAAAAACAUUGUUGCCCAAGAUUUCUCCUUCCUAGAUCGGAUUGGCUCAACGCCCAUUGCUGAGCAGCACCCGUUUGUCGUCUACCUUUAGGAAGGUCUGAAAGAUGGGAAAUACACGGAGGGUGAAUUCAAAGAUUUCCUCCCCUACACCCUGGGUCUCAUCUGCUGACAGACGGGCAAAGUAUUAGGUGCGAGUUCAUUUUCUCUCCCACUGUGCUUCAAUUUCUCUUGCUCAAGGAAAUGUGGAGUGAUGGGGGAACGGAGCAUUUUCCACAGUUGUUGACUAUCCACAACGUGCCUGGUACAGGCCUGAUGUAAGCAGCACGUUCUCGUUUUAUACUUGAGGAAAUAGACAUGAGAUCUUGGAAUGAUUGAAACUUAAGUCAUUUCACAGCGAACAAACCGUAGACUCAGGACUGGAGCAAGGCUGUCCAUCUUCAGAACCCACAGCCUUGCCAGGAGACUCUCCACCAUGGGUGGUCAUGCCAGUGUGGUUUGCCCUCACGUCUACUCUGUGCUGUCACCUUUGGCAUUCAAAGAAUACUGUAAGUUGAGGACUCAAACUACUGAGGAUCAUUUCAGCUGAGAGAUGCUUGGCCAGUUGGGUGGAAAGGCUGGUGUAGCGCCACGUCAGGAGAAAGCUCAGCUGAGCUUCUUUCCUCUGAUGCCAGAGAAAACCUCCACAUCUGUGGUGCUGGUGACUGGGUCAUGGGUUCUCACAUCCUUGAGUUUCCAUUUUGCACAAGAUCUCUCUACGACCUUGGAUCAAGACCCAGGGGCUGUGGAAAAGGGAUGCAGCCCAGCCUAGAAAUGUUUUAAUUGACUGGACACAUCAGAAAAUGCUCAACUCACUUUUAAAAAUUAAAUUAUAAUUUAAUCGCCCACUUCCCAACACCUUACAGGGCAGAGUCCCCUUUGUGAGAAAUCAGGCUUCACCAUCACUGGUACCUGCAGUUGGCUGCUCCCCUUACCUGGGAGCCAGGGGAAGAGGCCAUGGCACCCUGGCACAGCUGUUCUCCAGAACACCCUCAGGUCAACACCCUGGCAUAUGCCCCUUGCCCAUACCUGCCCUCUGCACCUGCCGGCCUCACCGUGGAGUUUUUGUAAAGCUCUCACCCACCUCCCCAGCCACCUUCUCUAAACAUUUCAGCUUCAGUCUUUUCUACUAAUGAAACCUACCUGCUAUCUUCUAUUUCAGAAUUGCUCAGAAUUUCUGUUCUUGUACUUUAUUUUUUCCUUGACAGCCAUUAUAGAGUUUUUGAAGUUCGGUGAACUUUGGGAGGAACAGAUAAACGUGAGCCCUCAGUCACUGUUUGCCAUCUCAAGUUAUGACCUUUCAAGUUACUGGGGGAAGUUGAUAACCUGGUGGGGUGUCCAGGUAAAGUGUGUAAAUUGGCCCUGACUUCACCACAAGCGAGCUUCUUGACCUCCUCUGGCUUAUUUCCUGUCCUGCUUUAAGAAAGAAUGCUUCUUUAUAAAUACGAUCUCGAUUAGUGACUCAUGUAAAAUGCAGCCGGACUGUGGCAGCUUUAUCCUUCAAUAGAUCUGUGAGAAAGUUUCUGACCUGACAGAGUGGCAUCUUUAUUCUUACUUUAUUUUUAUUAAGUAGGCUCAUGACCCUGAGAUUAAGACCUGAGCCAAGAGCAAGAGUCAAACAGAUGCUUAACCAACUGAGCCACCCAAGAGCUGCAUUUUUAAAAUCAAGACUAAAUAAAUAAAUAAAUAUAAACAAAUAUAUAAAUAAAAUAAAUCAAGACUCAUCUACCUACAGAAAGCAGAUCCAGGACCCCUGGAUAACUAAUGUCGGUGUUGCCUGUGGGUUUAUCUAAAUAAUGGCUCUGUGUUUAUACUUGCUUCAGGUCAUUUUUUCCUUUGCUAGACUUUUUUUUAGUUCAAUUUACCAACAUAGCAUAUCACCCA